GGAGUCACGCGAAGUCGGAAGUACCAGCUGCGGGAAGGAGCUGCCCACUGUGCGUCUUCUCAACUUGUUGGGACAACCUUCCUGCGGAAAGGAGAGACAACCUUCCUGCAGAAAGGAGCUACCUGCUUCAGGUCUACUGAGAGCUGUUCUGCCACUCAAUAAAGCUCUUCUCCAUCUUGCUAAGCCUCCAUUUGUCCGCAAUACCUCAUCUCCCUGGACGCAGGACAAGAACUCAGGACCCGCCUGGAGGUACUAAAAGAGCUUUAACACAAACAGGGCUGAAACACGCUCCCUUGCUUGCCACAUUGCGGGUGACGAGAAGGAGAAAAGAGCUGUGUUCCUUUGAGGAUCCCAGACCUAGGGUCUCCCUGAGCCAGGGCUGUGACACUCCCUUUGGGGUUCUAUGGUUCCUGGCAUCUUCAAGCUUCCAGGCGCCACCACCUUCGUUCCCUUCAUCCAAACAGGUGCCCACAGCAGAAUCCACAUGCCGUCCAUCUGGUCCAGCCUCACGCAGAGCCACAACUGUGCUGGCGCCUGGAGCUGCCAGCCCCACUGCAGCAGCCGGACUGACAUUCAGACGUGGAGCAAGUUGGACUGCAUAGGGACCCACCAGUGAGAUGGACGCUGUCUGUAAACGAUGACUUCUAGGAAGAAAAGAAAAAAUUCUGAUUAAACAGCCAUAUUCAUGCUGGAAGUCUACACUUUGAAUUUCUUGCACUCCAAGAUUCUAACUGUUGACCAGUUAUCAGCUGACAUUCUAUAUAUGUUUGAUGAGUAGCUGAAUGGCUGAAAAGAUUAGUGCAAACUAAAGAAUUACUAAAGUCCUGAAUGUGA
This is a long non-coding RNA of Homo sapiens (human), 834 nucleotides long. Ensembl annotates it as long intergenic non-protein coding RNA 1579. The record is from Ensembl. Lineage: Eukaryota; Metazoa; Chordata; Mammalia; Primates; Hominidae.